AGGGCGCCACCAGGAGUGGAGCCUGCGGCUUAAUUUGACUCAACACGGGAAAACUCACCCGGCCCGGACACCGUAAGGAUUGACAGACUGAGAGCUCUUUCUUAAUUCGGUGGGUGGUGGUGCAUGGCCGUUCUUAGUUGGUGGAGCGAUUUGUCUGGUUAAUUCCGAUAACGAACGAGACUCUGGCCUAUUAAAUAGACGAUAUAUCUAUCUAGUAUAUCGCGCUUCUUAGAGGGACAAGCGGCGUCCAGCCGCAUGAAAUAGAGCAAUAACAGUUUUUGUUUAUGCCCUUAGAUGUCCGGGGCUGCACGCGCGCUACACUGAAAGAAUCAGCGUGCGUUUUACCUAGUUCGGAAGAACCGGGUAACCCAAGUAAAUUCUCUCGUGCUUGGGAUAGGGAAUUUGCAAUUAUUUCCCUUGAACGAGGAAUUCCCAGUAAAUGCGGGUCAUAAGCUCGCGUUGAUUACGUCCCUGCCCUUUGUACACACCGCCCGUCGCUACUACCGAUUGGAUGACUUA
RNAcentral lists this ribosomal RNA (519 nucleotides) under uncultured eukaryote. Its description in RNAcentral is "SSU rRNA". It matches the Rfam family "Eukaryotic small subunit ribosomal RNA", at positions 1161 to 1700 of the family's 1831-position model. The record is from RNAcentral.